Molecule: long non-coding RNA, 189 nt
Organism: Papaver somniferum (opium poppy)
Lineage: Eukaryota; Viridiplantae; Streptophyta; Magnoliopsida; Ranunculales; Papaveraceae
Exons: 3
Source: RefSeq, a predicted model, not a curated record
CCCCACCUUCAGUUGGAGCACCUGUCAAGGUGAAGAAAGAAAAAAUCGGAGAAAGAAUUGCAGCAUUGCAACAACUAGUCUCACCAUUUGGAAAGUAAAAGAUAAUACGAGGAAUCUGAGUUUGCAAAGCUAAUGAAGGGUUUAGUGAGUGGUUCUUCCUCCUAAUUUGAAAUCCAAACUAAUUUUCAG